UACAGAGGUCUCAACCGUUGUUCGGAUUCAUUGGGCGUAAAGGGUGCGUAGGCGGUCGCGCAAGUCGGAUGUGAAAUCUCAGGGCUCAACCCUGAAACUGCAUUCGAUACUGCGUGGCUCGAGUACUGGAGAGGAGACUGGAAUUUACGGUGUAGCAGUGAAAUGCGUAGAUAUCGAGAGGAACACCUGCGGCGAAGGCGGGUAGCUGGGCCGACACUGACGCUGAGGCGCGAAAGCCAGGGGAGCGAACGGG
RNAcentral lists this ribosomal RNA (253 nucleotides) under uncultured bacterium. Its description in RNAcentral is "partial 16S ribosomal RNA". It matches the Rfam family "Bacterial small subunit ribosomal RNA", at positions 524 to 776 of the family's 1533-position model. The record is from RNAcentral.